GUUAGGAAUAUUGGACAAUGGGCGCAAGCCUGAUCCAGCCAUGCCGCGUGAGUGAUGAAGGCCUUCGGGUUGUAAAGCUCUUUAGCCGAUGAUUAUAAUGACUGUAGUCGGAAAAUAAGCCCCGGCUAACUUCGUGCCAGCAGCCGCGGUAAUACGAAGGGGGCGAGCGUUAUUCGGAAUCACUGGGCGUAAAGCGUGCGUAGGCGGCUUUGCAAGUUGGGAGUGAAAGCCCAGGGCUCAACCCUGGAAUUGCUCUCAAAACUGCAAGGCUCGAAUUCGGGAGAGGAUAGCGGAAUUGUCAGUGUAGCAGUGAAAUGCGUAGAUAUUGACAGGAACACCAGUGGCGUAAGCGGCUAUCUGGACCGAUAUUGACGCUGAGGCACGAAAGCGUGGGGAUCAAACAGGAUUAGAAACCCCUGUAGUCC
Molecule: ribosomal RNA, 425 nt
Filed under: uncultured bacterium
Lineage: Bacteria
Description: bacterial SSU rRNA
Rfam family: Bacterial small subunit ribosomal RNA
Source: RNAcentral